GCCAGCCCGCUCAGAAACUUAAAGGAAGUUAGACGGGGGCCCCGCACAAGCGGUGGAGUAUGUGGUUUAAUUCGAUGCAACGCGAAGAACCUACCUGGUCUUGACAUCCCGGAGACCCUUAGGAAACUAGGGGGUGCUUCCAUCUGGAAGAAUCUGGAGACAGGUGCUGCAUGGCUGUCGUCAGCUCGUGUCGUGAGAUGUUGGGUUAAGUCCCGCAACGAGCGCAACCCUUGCCUUUAGUUGCCAGCAGUUCGGCUGGGCACUCUAAAGGGACUGCCGGUGUUAAACCGGAGGAAGGUGGGGAUGACGUCAAGUCCUCAUGGCCUUUAUGACCAGGGCUACACACGUACUACAAUGGCCGAUACAAAGGGCAGCGACACUGCGAGGUGAAGCCAAUCCCGUAAAAUCGGUCUCAGUCCGGAUUGGAGUCUGCAACUCGACUCCAUGAAGUUGGAAUCGCUAGUAAUCGUGGAUCAGCAUGCCACGGUGAAUACGUUCCCGGGCCUU
Molecule: ribosomal RNA, 507 nt
Filed under: uncultured Desulfobulbus sp.
Lineage: Bacteria; Pseudomonadati; Thermodesulfobacteriota; Desulfobulbia; Desulfobulbales; Desulfobulbaceae
Description: bacterial SSU rRNA
Rfam family: Bacterial small subunit ribosomal RNA
Source: RNAcentral